CAGAGCGUAGCUUAAUAGCAUAGCAUCUCCCUUACACUGAGAAGACAUUCGUGCAACUCGAAUCGCCCUGA
RNAcentral lists this transfer RNA (71 nucleotides) under Colistium nudipinnis (New Zealand turbot). RNAcentral describes it as "tRNA-Val". It matches the Rfam family "tRNA". From Rfam's summary of the family: Transfer RNA (tRNA) molecules are approximately 80 nucleotides in length. The record is from RNAcentral. Lineage: Eukaryota; Metazoa; Chordata; Actinopteri; Pleuronectiformes; Rhombosoleidae.